AGUUAGUGAAAUAUACAUCGUAAAAGACGUGAACAAAUUUAAAGAGUAUUUCAGAAACAUAAUUUAGUGACAGUCGCUCUCCCUGUUUAAAAUAAAUAGAAAUUAUUAUUAAGCUUUUCAACAUUUGUGUGUCAAUCUUUUUCGUUUUCAACGUCAAACGAUUUGCAUAGUUUUCUUUAUUAAAGAAAUGAAUGACCGUAUUCGUGUUUGUAAUUAAACUAACGCCUAUUACGGUUUUUCGAAAAAUAAAAAAAAAAAUCUUCUUAUUUCGUUUCACGUAGGGAAACCAUGUCUUACGAUGACUGUAGUGAAAACAUCUCUCAUUUUUUAUUUUAGCGUAUGAACGGUAUACAUGUAUUUUACCGUUUUAAACCUAGUACAAUACACUGCAAACGACAUUCUUCAAUUAAACCAUUAACCAAAUUCUGUUAAUAUAUCUACAUAAGCAGGCCAAG
This 455-nucleotide long non-coding RNA is filed under the name Mytilus galloprovincialis (Mediterranean mussel). Lineage: Eukaryota; Metazoa; Mollusca; Bivalvia; Mytilida; Mytilidae. The record is from RNAcentral.